RNAcentral lists this ribosomal RNA (429 nucleotides) under Bacteroidota bacterium. RNAcentral describes it as "Bacteroidetes bacterium partial 16S ribosomal RNA". It matches the Rfam family "Bacterial small subunit ribosomal RNA", at positions 355 to 776 of the family's 1533-position model. The record is from RNAcentral. Lineage: Bacteria; Pseudomonadati; Bacteroidota.
UAGGGAAUCUUCCGCAAUGGACGCAAGUCUGACGGAGCAACGCCGCGUGAGUGAAGAAGGAUUUCGGUUCGUAAAACUCUGUUGUUAGAGAAGAACAGCGCAUAGAGUAACUGUUAUGCGUGUGACGGUAUCUAACCAGAAAGCCACGGCUAACUACGUGCCAGCAUCCGCGGUAAUACGUAGGUGGCAAGCGUUGUCCGGAUUUAUUGGGCGUAAAGCGAGCGCAGGCGGUCAAUUAAGUCUGAUGUGAAAGCCCCCGGCUCAACCGGGGAGGGUCGUUGGAAACUGGUUGACUUGAGUGCAGAAGAGGAGAGUGGAAUUCCAUGUGUAGCGGUGAAAUGCGUAGAUAUAUGGAGGAACACCAGUGGCGAAGGCGACUCUCUGGUCUGUAACUGACGCUGAGGCUCGAAAGCGUGGGUAGCAAACAGG